UUAUCAUAUAUCGACGACAAAAUUAUAACAUAACGACUAUACAAAGAAGAUACAAUAAACACUGAUCGUUUCUACAUCAAAAUGUAAAAAUAUAUCUAUACUACCUAAUUGCUUUUUUUUUCUUUAAGAAUUCGUCGACCUAGCUAGUUCUAACUAAUGAGAUCAUAUAUAUUUGAAGAUGUAUUUUUGUAGACCAACAUAAUUAAAAAGUCUUAUUCUUACACAAAAAAGUAGAGCUUAAAUAAAGAAUAUAAUGAACAGUGAGGAGUAGAGAGAAAGAUGUGUCGGUGGUUCUUAUUGGUGGUGGUGAGCACUGCAUCUGUACAUAUAGGUUUUCAAUAGCUCUCUGAGUUCGAAGUCGCCUCCCUCUUAAUCUCUCUUCAGUCUCUGUAAAAACAUUUCUUUGUGUCAUCCUUAAUAAUUCUCGAGAGAGAGAGAGAGUGCAGGUCUGGCAGGGAUAAGGAGCAGCACAGCAGCAGUUAGAGUGAGUGGCGGGAAAAGGAAAGGAAGAAAGAAAGUAAAAGUGACAAAAGAAAGGUUGAUGGAUUUUUGGGACAAGAUGAUCUUCCCUGUCCGCCGUGUCUGGCUUGCCGUCUCUACUCGUGUCAAGGAUCGCAAAAAUGGUGAUGGGCUUUUGAAGCUUCACGAUGACGUACAAACAUGUGGGUAUCAAGAUGUGCAAGUGAUGUGGCAGAUGCUGAGUGGAGACACAGACAACCACCCGCCGGCCAAACGCAAGCACCAAAGACAGAGACCCUUCCGGAGAAUUUUCGAGUGGUCUUCUAACAAUAAUAGUAGUAAAACCUCACCGCUCUCUUCAAAUCAUGCAUGCGCAUAAAAACAAUGAGACUCAUGGGACCCCAAUCAGAUAAUACAUAUAAUAAUAAUGUGCUGCUGUCGCUGCUGCUGUCCAGCAUCUCACAUUAUUGGCAUCAUAUUUUACAGCCAAAUUGUUGCCAACACUUGCAGUGGCACACUACUGUUGUAGGUGUCAAUCGCAGUAUAAGAUGGAUGAAAUACGGCACGACGUAUGUGUAAAUAUAAAUAAUAUUCUCCCAGAAAAAUGAAAGAAAUUAAGAGCCUUCCUAGUCCCUGUAUAAUGUGUACUUGUGGCGAAAAUAACAUUCAGCAUAUAUUACGUA
Pyrus x bretschneideri (Chinese white pear) is the source of this 1142-nucleotide long non-coding RNA. RefSeq lists it as uncharacterized. The transcript has 2 exons. The record is from RefSeq and is a predicted model, not a curated record. NCBI's taxonomy places the organism in Eukaryota, Viridiplantae, Streptophyta, Magnoliopsida, Rosales, Rosaceae.